Long non-coding RNA from Astatotilapia calliptera (eastern happy), 3283 nucleotides. The record is from Ensembl. Lineage: Eukaryota; Metazoa; Chordata; Actinopteri; Cichliformes; Cichlidae.
CGUUAGACAAACAGCUGUUUGUUUACUUUGAAUGGCAGCGUGCGAUUGGUUUCCUGCUGUCGGGGAGGAUGUCCUGAAGUCUCCAAACACGUCCUUUGAAGCAGUCUUUCUCUGUGAUCGCCUUCAGAAUCGCCUGUACGGACUCUGAGGACUCCAUAAAGUUCAGAGGAAACGCAGGAACAGUUCGAUGCACUUCUGCUUUAUGUUCCCGACUUCCUUUAACUUCCUGCUCACGCCAGGGUCGAAUGUUCGAAGCCGUUCUGUUCAUCCUCCUCGAUACCUUCUGCUCCUUUGAAACGACCUCUGGCGACCUUGUUAUUAUUCGUCUUUUGUUGGAUUUCUUAAGGAAUAAGUUCAUAAAACCUUUGAGAUGGUCUGAUGAAAUCAUCGCAUCACUUCCUGUUUCUCAGAGAGGAUGUUUCUGAAUCACACACAACAAAAAGCAAAUGACAAUCUGCAGAAAGGUGGAAUUUGCUCUCUGUUUGGUUUCCAUUCCUGCUGUCGGCACAGCCGGACAGAUCGGGAGAAUGAUCCCAGUGUUUUAGCCAUACACCGCCGCCGCCGCCUCCUUCUCCGCUCGUUGUUAACGUCUCCACGGUCGAGUACAUAGCAGAUGCGUUUCUAUCCAGUUUCUAUUUUUUAGUAUGACGUGAUUCUUCUUCUGAUUUCUAUAUUUUGUAGUGUGAUUAAAGUGGUCUUUUUAUAUUCCAGCAGUUUCUACCACACAUUCCAAACGUGCACGUCAGCAGACGGGCCCCGGCCGGCGCCGCCGCGGAUGCUGAGCUCAUCUUAGCUGUCCUCCACAGCUGCUCUGUUUUUAAAGGUCGUGUUGAGACAGAGGUGGUCAGUGUGUCACAAAGAUCACGGCGUCUCGUCGACCUCUCGGGCCUCAGAGACUCUGGAGGUGGAGUCGAUCAGUUUACGUCACAUUUAGCGCCUUCUGUCUUCAUGUCCACCUGUUUUAACUCCUUAAAAGGAAAAACCAUCAGUCGCAGCCUGCUGUGAUGACGGUGAGUCAGCAUGGAGAGCCCACCUGUGUCCACAGGUAACAGAAGCCUCCUGUCAGCCCCUCUGAAGGAUGUUGAGGGGUCAUCUUAAGGUUCAGGGUCAGGGUCUUCCUGCUGCUGUCACCUUUAGAUCACUCAAAGGAGGUGCCAACCGCUCUUAGCACGGAGGAAGACGUGGCGAGGAGGAGGAGAGCUCGACCCACAGUCUGAGCGGUUUCCUCUGAACCGUCUGCCUCAGACGAUCGGUCCUCAGGGACGAAUUUAAAGGGGCGUGACCUCACGAUGGGAUCGUGCUCCUGGUCGUUCCUCACCCUCAGAAGCGAGGGUCAGCAGUCUGUGUAGAAGCAGGAACCACGACUCCAGCUGGUUCCUCUCAGUUUGUUUCCUUUUGGCUCAAAGACUCGAGUUUGAUGAAGCGUGGAAACGCGCGCUUCACUCAUUAAAUCUGGCUGUCAUGGCGGCAGGUUUCUAACAGAUGCAGACAUGAACAUCAAAGUGCAGGAUGUAUUGUUUGUGUCUUGAAUCACAUGUUGCUGUGGAGGACGGCGUCUGUAGUCGCGAUACCAGUCAGGUCCCAUCGAAUCAGAAUCUAAGCUCAAAACACGUCUUUAAGAAAAAAAGAAAGAAGGCAGACGGCGUUAUGGAGCGUUUUUAUUUUUCUAUCUGUACGGCUUCUGUCAGAAUAUAAAGACGGCGUCCGGGCCGCUCGGUUUCCUGGUUUUCAGUUAGUGCUUUUCUCUUUCCUUCCCGUCUUUGGCUGACUUCUUUGUGCCGGACUCGUGACUGUCUCGACGUCCUCUGCCGGGCCUUCGUACCUUCAGUAAUACCAAUGUGAAACCUGUAACUCUCCUCAUGGUUCGACUCAGUGGAAGUGUGAUGUUUACAUGUACAGAUUUUUGCGAUUUUUCUUUUCUGGUUCUGUCUGUUUUCAUCUUCAUGCCUCUCUUUUCCACUCCUGAGUUCCUCUCGCUCCUUCCUCACACAGGGAAAUGGGGCUGAGACUAAAUAUGAUUAUCCACCUUUUACACUCUGCCCUUUCCCACUGUGGAGGCCUGAGAGUGCCAAAAGUACUAAUGGCCUUUAAAUGCAUCAACUAAGAAAUUAAUCUGAACUGUAAUUCUCCUCUUUAUUUCCUGUUUCAUGUUGUAAAUAAGGAAAUAAAGUGCAAAAUGAAUGCAUGAAUAAAUGAAUGUAAUUGGCACGCAGGUACCCGUGCAGCAGCCAUGUUUGGACCUGACCUAAGGCUCAUUUACAGCUCAGUAGUGCACAGUUUGGUCUAGUUUUUAGAAGACGGCGAUUUCCUGCAGGAGAGGUGGUGAGCCUGGCCCAGAUGUGGUCCAGAUGUUGGCACAGUCACUGAAGCCGGGUCAAAGCCAGACGGGGUAAAUCUGUACAAAGGUGAAUAUGGACAGAAAUGUUUGGGUUGAUGCAUUUAAUUUUCUGUUAAAGUGUUGGAGCUGUUCAGUCACUUUGGCAGUUUCAGUCCUCCGUAGGGUCUGGGGGAUCGGGUACUUCCUGUUAGCAUCAUUAGCGUUGAGUCAAAUCUGUCACGCUAACGUGCUCGGUGAAGAAAGUCGAGGCGUUCCCGGGCGGCCUUCUGGGUGUGGGAGGGAGGAGUUGUGCGAUUGUUCGGCUCUGGAGGGGUGGGUUGCGGUUGACCCCCGACCUCUCGGCUGACUCCACGGCACACAGGAUCCCAGCGGGGCCACGGCGACCCUCCGUGAUCCGUGGGACACGAUUCCUCAGUGAAUGAAAAGCCAUUUCGGGCCCCGGGCGUCGGGUCUUUAGUCUGUGAGUGUAUUUAGCGAAACUUAAGCUGCGGACGGCGAAACUCAACCUCAGGAACAGAAAAAAGGACAUGACUUUUAUAAAAGCAGCUGAAGGCCCAUUUCCCUCUCUUUGAUACCAUAUAAAUUAUAUCAAAUCAAUUCUUUUUAUAUUUAUUGUGUUUAUUAUUCUUCUAUAUAACAGUGGAUACCUUUUGCAGUACCUGUGGCUGAAUAUUUUGAUUCUUUAGAAAAGUGUUGAUAAUAUAUGUGAAAAAGAAAAGAAGAAAUCUGGGUUCUUAUUCUUUCUGUUGAUGACUACAUAUCACUCUGGUCCAUGACGAAGAAACCAAUGAUUAUACAGACUGAGCUUUCUUUGUGUGAUGUCACUGCUAAGGCUGAAAUGUUUCUGGACUUUGUGACCGUUCAGUUUGUUUUUGGUUUGUUUCCUCCCGAGCUGUACAUCACAAAGCUAAAUAUACUAAUAAAAACUGUGUGCUAUCUAUCAGA